This 77-nucleotide transfer RNA is filed under the name Kiritimatiellia bacterium. RNAcentral's name for it is "Kiritimatiellae bacterium (gut metagenome) tRNA-Pro". It matches the Rfam family "tRNA". From Rfam's summary of the family: Transfer RNA (tRNA) molecules are approximately 80 nucleotides in length. The record is from RNAcentral. Lineage: Bacteria; Pseudomonadati; Kiritimatiellota; Kiritimatiellia.
CGGAGAGUAGCGCAGUCUGGUAGCGCACCAGUUUUGGGAACUGGCUGUCGUGGGUUCGAAUCCCGCCUCUCCGACCA